RNAcentral lists this ribosomal RNA (1267 nucleotides) under Habrophlebiodes zijinensis. RNAcentral's name for it is "16S ribosomal RNA". The stretch from base 1027 to 1185 matches the Rfam family "Bacterial large subunit ribosomal RNA", at positions 2473 to 2632 of the family's 2925-position model. Lineage: Eukaryota; Metazoa; Arthropoda; Insecta; Ephemeroptera; Leptophlebiidae. The record is from RNAcentral.
AAAAUAAUAUUUUUUUAUAGAGAUGUAUAAAUUAAUAAAAAUAAUUAUGAUGGAAAUUAUUGGAGUAAUAAAUAAAGAAAUAAUGAAAAGGUUGGUAUUUAAUAAGAAGGGUUGAAAGAUUUGAAAAUAAAUUUUUUUAAAAGAAAAUGAUUUUUGUACCUUUUGUAUCAGGGUUUAUUAAAUGAAAUUUUAGAUUUAAGUGAUCCCGAAAAUAGAAGAGCUAAGAAGGAUUGAAAUUUUAGUAGGAUAAAAAUUAUAAAAUUUUUUUUAGAAGUGAAAUGCUAUUCGAUUUUAUUUAUAUCUGGUUUUUAAAGAAUUAAAUUAAAUUUAGUUAGUUUAAGAAUUUAUUUUUAUUAAAAAAGUAAAAGAUGGGCUAAUAAAAAGUAUUAAGGAUAAGCUUAAUAUUUAAUUUAUUACUAGAUGUAAUUUUUUUUAGGUGGGCUUAAGAAUAGCUAUCUUUUUAGGGUUUUAUAAUUAAAAAAUAAGAAAAAAGAUUUUUAUAAGUAUAAAAAAUUAUUUAAAAAUUGUUUAAAAUAAUAAGGGGCAAACUAAAAUGAUAAAAUUAUUAUAAAAAAUUGUAAAAUGAAAUAAAAAUAUAAUUAUAAUAAAGGAACUAGGCAAACAUUUUUUCCACUUGUUUAUCAAAAACAUCGCUUUUAGGAAAGUUUUAAAAGUACAACCUGCCCGAUGAGAGUUGAAUGGCCGCAGUAUUUUGACUGUGCAAAGGUAGCAUAAUCAUUAGUCUUUUUAAUGGAGGCUGGAAUGAAUGGUGAAAUGAGAAAAAAGCUGUCUUUAUUAUAAAGUUAAAAGUUAAUUUUUUAGUGAAAAAGCUGAAAUAGACUUAUUAGACGAGAAGACCCUAUAGAUCUUGAUAUAUGUUAUUGAAUAAUUAUUAGAUGAAAAAGUUUUAUGAGUAAAUAUAUUUGGUUGGGGUGACAAGGAAAUAAAUUAACUUUCUUAAAUAGAUACAAUGAUAAUUGAAUAAAUGAUCCAAUUAGGUUGAUUAGAAGUUUAAGUUACCUUAGGGAUAACAGCGUAAUUUUUUUUGAGAGUUCUUAUUGAUAAAAAGGAUUGUGACCUCGAUGUUGGAUUAAGAUUAUAUUGGAAAGUAGAAGUUUCAAAGUUUAGUCUGUUCGACUAUUAAAAUCUUACAUGAUCUGAGUUCAAACCGGCGUGAGCCAGGUUGGUUUCUAUCUUUAAAUAAAAAUGAUAAUUUAGUACGAAAGGACCAAUUAUUAGAAAUAGUUUUUAUUAAAAGAACAAUAUU